This 122-nucleotide ribosomal RNA is filed under the name Eutrema salsugineum. Lineage: Eukaryota; Viridiplantae; Streptophyta; Magnoliopsida; Brassicales; Brassicaceae. The record is from RNAcentral.
GGGUGCGAUCAUACCAGCACUAAUGCACCGGAUUCCAUCAGAACUCCGCAGUUAAGCGUGCUUGGGCGAGAGUCGUACUAGGAUGGGUGACCUCCUGGGAAGUCCUCGUGUUGCACCCCUUU